UGCCGCGUGAGUGAUGAAGGCCUUAGGGUUGUAAAGCUCUUUCAGUGGGGAAGAUAAUGACGGUACCCACAGAAGAAGCCCCGGCUAACUUCGUGCCAGCAGCCGCGGUAAUACGAAGGGGGCUAGCGUUGUUCGGAUUUACUGGGCGUAAAGCGCACGUAGGCGGAUUGUUAAGUCAGGGGUGAAAUCCUGGAGCUCAACUCCAGAACUGCCUUUGAUACUGGCAAUCUCGAGUCCGGAAGAGGUAAGUGGAACUCCUAGUGUAGAGGUGGAAUUCGUAGAUAUUAGGAAGAACACCAGUGGCGAAGGCGGCUUACUGGUCCGGUACUGACGCUGAGGUGCGAAAGCGUGGGGAGCAAACAGGAUUAGAUANNCUGGUAGUCCACGCCGUAAACUAUGAGAGCUAGCCGUUGGGACGUUUACGUCUCAGUGGCGCAGCUAACGCAUUAAGCUCUCCGCCUGGGGA
Molecule: ribosomal RNA, 466 nt
Filed under: Devosia sp.
Lineage: Bacteria; Pseudomonadati; Pseudomonadota; Alphaproteobacteria; Hyphomicrobiales; Devosiaceae
Description: bacterial SSU rRNA
Rfam family: Bacterial small subunit ribosomal RNA
Source: RNAcentral